UAGGGAAUCUUCCACAAUGGACGCAAGUCUGAUGGAGCAACGCUUCGUGAGUGAAGAAGGUUUUCGGACCGUAAAGCUCUGUUGUUGGUGAAGAAGGAUAGAGGUAGUAACUGGCCUUUAUUUGACGGUAAUCAACCAGAAAGUCACGGCUAACUACGUGCCAGCAGCCGCGGUAAUACGUAGGUGGCAAGCGUUGUCCGGAUUUAUUGGGCGUAAAGCGAGCGCAGGCGGAAGAAUAAGUCUGAUGUGAAAGCCCUCGGCUUAACCGAGGAAUUGCAUCGGAAACUGUUUUCUUGAGUGCAGAAGAGGAGAGUAGAACUCCAUGUGUAGCGGUGGAAUGCGUAGAUAUAUGGAAGAAUACCAGUGGCGAAGGCGGCUCUCUGGUCUGCAACUGACGCUGAGGCUCGAAAGCAUGGGUAGCGAACAGGAUUAGAUACCCUGGUAGUCCAUGCCGUAAACGAUGAGUGCUAAGUGUUGGGAGGCUUCCGCCUCUCAGUGCUGCAGCUAACGCAUUAAGCACUCCGCCUGGGGGAGUACGACCGCAAGGUUGAA
RNAcentral lists this ribosomal RNA (552 nucleotides) under uncultured bacterium. RNAcentral describes it as "partial 16S ribosomal RNA". It matches the Rfam family "Bacterial small subunit ribosomal RNA", at positions 355 to 898 of the family's 1533-position model. The record is from RNAcentral.